AUUGAACGCUGGCGGCAGGCCCAACACAUGCAAGUCGAGCGGAUGAAGGGUGCUUGCUCCUGGAUUCAGCGGCGGACGGGUGAGUAAUGCCUAGGAAUCUGCCUGGUAGUGGGGGAUAACGUCCGGAAACGGGCGCUAAUACCGCAUACGUCCUGAGGGAGAAAGUGGGGAAUCUUCGGACCUCCCGCUAUUAGAUGAGUCUAGGUCGGAUUAGCUAGUUGGUGGGGUAAAGGCCUACCAAGGCGACGAUCCGUAACUGGUCUGAGAGGAUGAUCAGUCACACUGGAACUGAGACACGGUCCAGACUCCUACGGGAGGCAGCAGUGGGGAAUAUUGGACAAUGGGCGAAAGCCUGAUCCAGCCAUGCCGCGUGUGUGAAGAAGGUCUUCGGAUUGUAAAGCACUUUUAGUUGGGAGGAAAGGCAGUAAGUUAAUACCUUGCUGUUUUGACGUUACCAAAAGAAUAAGCACCGGCUAACUUCGUG
RNAcentral lists this ribosomal RNA (484 nucleotides) under uncultured bacterium. RNAcentral describes it as "partial 16S ribosomal RNA". It matches the Rfam family "Bacterial small subunit ribosomal RNA", at positions 30 to 507 of the family's 1533-position model. The record is from RNAcentral.